UGAGCAAAUCAGACAACUGCGGGCAGAAGCCGUAAGGCUCUGAAUGAGGAAAGUCCGGGCAUCACAGAGCAGGGUGCCGGGUAACUCCCGGUGGAGGUAACUCUAAGGAAAGUGCAACAGAAAAAAACCGCCGAAAUUAAAUUCGGUAAGGAUGAAAAGGCGAGGUAAGAGCUCACCGCAGUCCGGGAGAUCGGACUGGCGUGUA
Molecule: RNase P RNA, 205 nt
Filed under: Oscillospiraceae bacterium
Lineage: Bacteria; Bacillati; Bacillota; Clostridia; Eubacteriales; Oscillospiraceae
Description: partial RNase P RNA component class A
Rfam family: Bacterial RNase P class A
About the family: Ribonuclease P (RNase P) is a ubiquitous endoribonuclease, found in archaea, bacteria and eukarya as well as chloroplasts and mitochondria. Its best characterised activity is the generation of mature 5'-ends of tRNAs by cleaving the 5'-leader elements of precursor-tRNAs.
Source: RNAcentral